CCAUUUUACCCUUAACCAUGGGGCUUUAUAGCUUUUGCAUGAGUCUUGAGCAAUUAGAAGACUGAACAAUCAGGUCAAGCACUAUGUCUCAAAUUCUUUGCAGAACCAUUAUCCUGGAGUUUUUAUAAGUUUUCAGAAUAAAACUCAGAGCUUAAUUGUAUGACACCCUCAAGUCUCUCAAUGUAUAUGGUAUUUAUGGUUCUCUCUUGAGGCAUUAAUGAUGCUAUGCCUCCUAUAGCUAAAGGUAUAUAUGGUGGAGCUUAUAGGAGUGCCAAUAACAAGGAUAGGCAUAUAUACUUGCAAUGCAUGUAUUGUAAAGUCAACUAAUGGAUCCAUAGAGAAUCGAGGCAUACAAUCAAACCAAGAUGUGCAUGUGUAUGGAAUACGGUGGAUGGGUGUAGUUGUGGUAUUUGUGGCUAAUUUCUAUUUCUAAUUUUGCUCCUUGAGGAUAAAUCUCUCUUUUGAUCUUCGAACUUUUCGCGGGAAAACAUGGGCUAUCUUUAUUUUAUUUUUAUUUAUUUUUUAUUUAGGGAGGCGGGCAUCUAGUACCCAUUGUUUUAAUUAUUGGGACACUUGUCCAUCUUUACUCCCUUUCCUUCUUUUAUAUUUUUGCAUAGCCACAUGUAUCAUUUGAAUACAAUAAAUGAUCAGAGAGGUAAUAAUAAGAACUUAGGGCAUUUAUGAUGGGCUUUAUCCUAUGGGUAUGGUUUGUUUUUAUGUCCUCUCCCAGUGUAGGAGGAGAACAUGAUUGAUGAACAUGGAAUGGAAAUGAUUGUGAUUACUCCUAGUGUGGGAAUAAUGCAUAUGUGAACUGUGGUGUGUACGUGAUCUUGGUUUUAAAAGCAUGACAAGACUCUCGUAAGUUAUACUACAAAGGUUGACUGAACUCAAUGCAAAGCAAGCAGCAUAAAUGUGCAAAAGUUUUCCUAACUCUAAAUGUAUAUUAUAUAUGGCUUUGGUAGGAAUUCAAACUUGUCAUACAAGAGCUCAUCAUGUAAAUUUUAAAUUUUUGAAAUAAAUCUCUAGAACUUAAUAAUGCUACGAAUAAGAUAAAUAGCAGCUCAAACUUUUAAUGAUCAUAUCAACCAACUACCUAGACUUAGCUCAAACUUAUGCCUCCACAAGUUGCAGGUUCAGAGUAAACCUUCAAAUUAAAACAGCAUGUCCAAAACUCGAGAGAAUCUACCAUUGGAAUCUAGGUACUUGUAAAGAACUAUAACAGAGCAACUAUUCAUCAUCUCCAAGACAAAAUUUUAAUGUUCAUCAAUUUUUGUUUAGCUCUAGUUUAAACUGACUCUAAACAGACUCUGACACUUAACUAAUUAUAAACUCACAAAAAGACUAUGACUUGUGGACCUUCAUGUGCCCACAUAUUUUUGGUAUUUUUAUGACUAUAUAGACUCAAAAUCACUUAGGUAUAAUUACCUGAUAACUAGAGGAUGCUCCUCCCCCAAGCUGGAUGGUUGCAAUACUUGGUGUAGAUGUCCUUUAGAGUGAGCUGACCAGUAGCGGACUUGGUGGGUGCCACUGAUCUCUCAUUGCUAUGGUGUUAUUCCUGCAUAAAUACUCUCCACAAAGAGAAACCAAAACUCGAGGCUCGAAUUUGUUAAUGAGUUAGCGGUCAGCCAAAAAGUAAUUGAUCUCCUUUAUGAGCUAGUUUUAGUGUUGUCUAAUUUAAACAUGAUUUCACUUUUCUCUUCCUUUUGAAUUUUCUAUUUAUGAUGCCGGAAUUUAAAUAUGAAUGCUAUAUUUUUUCAUUUUUAUUUUAUGCCACCAUAGCAGAUGUUCCUUCCUUCGGAAAAUACCAUAGGGUAUCCACAUGGGGCUUUGUGAUGCCAUGAGUAAUGUAGUAAAUAUUUUUGUUAUUUUUAUAUCUUUUAGUGUAUAAACAAAAUUAUGCUACUAAAUAAAUUACGAAUGCAUUUAAAGAGAUAACUACCAUUCUAACCUUAUGGCUAGGGUACGGAAUUUAAAGACUACCGACAGGACUUAGAUAGAGGAGAACACUUACUUAGUGGAUUC
RNAcentral lists this long non-coding RNA (2022 nucleotides) under Sorghum bicolor (sorghum). Its description in RNAcentral is "long non-coding RNA (SBIC_LNC017354)". Lineage: Eukaryota; Viridiplantae; Streptophyta; Magnoliopsida; Poales; Poaceae. The record is from RNAcentral.